GGCUCUGAAGUAUAUAUUACGUUGAAUUGCAAAUUCGAAGAAGUAGCAUAGGUGCUGCCGGGGCUU
RNAcentral lists this transfer RNA (66 nucleotides) under Parantechinus apicalis (southern dibbler). Its description in RNAcentral is "tRNA-Cys". Lineage: Eukaryota; Metazoa; Chordata; Mammalia; Dasyuromorphia; Dasyuridae. The record is from RNAcentral.